Molecule: long non-coding RNA, 2538 nt
Organism: Pseudophryne corroboree (corroboree frog)
Lineage: Eukaryota; Metazoa; Chordata; Amphibia; Anura; Myobatrachidae
Exons: 3
Source: RefSeq, a predicted model, not a curated record
AAUCUGCAUUUUCCAUUGCAUCACUGCUGUGGAACUACAGGUCCCAGCAGUUCCAGUUCUGUUCCAGUCUACAGUCUCCUGCAGCCCACAGCUCACCGUGCUCCACCUAACCAGUUCAGUUCUGUUCCAGUUCUGGUUUUCAGUCCUCUGCAGCCUGGAAUGCUGCAGCCAACUCACAGCUGAUCUGGACACCUAAUCCAGCUAGUAUCUCUGCCUGCAGUUUGUGUCCAAUCACUGCUGGGCAGGAGGUAUAACUUCCAGUUUGUGGCUCUCUCACAUCGCCUUGGACAACACGUCACAUCCCGUGAACAGGCGGCUCCUGUUUGCAAUCCUCUGUCUACAGAGAUUUCCUUGUGUAUUAGACCUGUGGAACAACAGGUCCCAGCUGUUCAAGUUCCGUUCCUGUUCCCAGCUGUUCCAGUUGUUCCUGUGGAACUACAAGUUCCAGCAACCCCUCCAGCUCUCCUGCGACAUUCAGUGUGCAAGUUCCUGUGUUCCUGUGGAACUACAAGUUCCAGCAACCACUCCAGCUCUCCUGCUGCAUUCAGUGUGUAAGUUCCUGUGUUCCAGUCUCCAGAUCCCCGUGUUCCUGGUUACCUGCUUGUUACUCCGUGUUCCUGGUUAUCCUACUACAGCUCCGUGGAACUACAAGCAUCAGCAAUUCCUGCAUUCAUUUACAGGCUUCACACCAAUCUCCAACACAGUGUGCUUCAGCCUCAGCUGUAGAGACUCCAUCUCCAGGUGCAGCUCAUCACCUCACCUGUGAAUCAGCUUGCAAGCUGCCUGUGCUUUCCAAUAGCACUGUGAACCCUGCAUCAAGUCUUCUUCAUCUGCUACCAGAUUUUCUUCACAGGUGGACUAGAGAUGCCAGCAGGCCCUUAAUGUCCUGGGAUGAUUUUUAUGAUGUUCUGAUCUUUGUGGCUCAUUUUUUUGCAAUGGGUCAUCUGGCAUUCAAAGCCUUUCUCAAGAAUCUGGGUGACAACUGAACCUGUACUGGUUUCCAUUUUCCUGCUUUUAUGGAGUUCUCAUUCCUGAACAUUUAGAUUUGAGACAGAUUCACACAAUAUAUUUCUCCAUAAACAAUGGAAUCAGGUUACUCAUGCCUUCUCUCUCCUUGCCUCCCCAUAUAUCUCACCCCAAUAUGGAGUAACUGAUAUGAGUACCUAAUGUGACCUUGAGCUUAUAGAAGCCACUUGUUGAGUGCUUCAUCUUAAACAGCCCCCUUUCCUGAAACUACAGUCGUUCACUGGUACUAAGUAGCUGCCAGGAUGUUAUCUCUAAGUAGUGUAAGCUCAACUUCACAGACACAUAUUUAAUGGGAACAGGACACCUUAGAGACUACUAAAACUAUAUACAGAAAACAGCAUGCCAGAUCUUCAAUAUAGCACAGGCAAUCUUCACUGAAAAAUAUGCUCGUUAGUUUUACAAAUAGCUCUAACAAAUAUUUUUCUGGACAAUUCUCUCAAAGAAUACAAGUCUUUUCCACAAUAGAGGAUCAAUGAGAAGUAACAGAUUAUUUAAUGUAUAGCUAAAUACAUUGUAAAUAAAAAAUACACAAUUCUCUCCAAUAGCAAAAAUAUGUUUUACAGAGACAUGAAAUGAUAAGUAGUAACAGGUUUUCUGCAUGCAUCAAAUACCACAAAUAAUUUGCACAGCAGCAAGCUACAACACUAAAUAGAUCUUCAGAAUACUCCAGAUUAAUAGCACUAUAAUGAAAUGUCACAUAGUUCUUUUCAAUAUGCACAAAUCAUAUCACUGAAGAUCUGUAAAAUACUUAGCAGAUAUUUCAAAGAGUCCAGGUUUACUUCACCAUAGAAAUAUAUCAUCUGGUAACAGGCCUUCCAAAUGAUACAAGCAGAUAAACUUUAUUGAGCAGCUCAGAGCAUAAAUUCACUUAUGCGUCAGGAAAAGACAGGAUCUGACUGAUUACAGCCCCCAACAGUGUGUCUUGGGUGACUUCCUAUAAGGACUGAAACAUCCAAUCAGCAGUAUUCUAAUUACAGCUGCAGAAAUUAGGAGUCGGAACGAAGCCUAGUACUAUGAUACAUAGUUGUACAGCUGACUGGUUACCAGAAGACUGAUUCAAGCUUACAAAACUACCCUGACCAUGAUCUAGUGUACUAAGCUGUGCUUAUUACAGAUUCUUACACUAACAGACUUUUCUCCUGGACUGGGCCAUAAUGUAGUACCUCCAUAAAGUUUGUGAUUCAGUUCAGUCAGUGCUGGUUUGGCACCUCUUCCCCAGAGUGACAGAGUCUAAGAAGGCUCAGAUAUCCAUCAGGGACCCUGCAAGCAAAUUGGCUAACCACUACUGAAAGCUCAGAAGUUGUGGACCUAUGGGUAAACACCAGUCAUGACUACCAGGAAGAGGGUAAGGAGAAGUUGCUGUUCAGGUUCAAUAUCAACUGUGCAAAAUUACAACCCUCUGAGUUAAUAUCUUCUGUUCCGGCAAGCAUCUCAAAGUUUUAAAUUAUCUGUAAAAAUUUAGAAAAUUACGUGUUUUUGAAGUUUGGUCGGCCCAACCUUAAAGCUGGGCAU